GUGUGAUCGCGAUAACACGCCAUAAACAGCCAGGCCGGAGUUUCCUGAGUGGAGCAGCCGGGGAAACGAGCAGCAACGCAGCAACUGUGAAGAUUUGAUUUGGGCCAUUGACUCAAGUUAUUUUACCUCAACGAAGCGAUUUGUUAUGCUCCCAACAGGAGGAGAAAUGGACCGUCCUCCUUCAGAAUCCACCUGCGUUAAACUCUAUCUGUGCUCCAACCCAGAGGACAGCACGGUGGAGCGCAGAGCUCUGAGGGAGCGUGUUUUCCCCCAACUCAGAGAGCACUGUAGAAAAACACUGGGACGGGACGUCCGGGUGAUAGACCCAUUUGAGUCCAUUGAUCCAUGUCAUUGGCCAGACGAAUACACCAGACAGCAGCUGAUUAAAGAAUGCAGAAAAAGC
Long non-coding RNA from Gasterosteus aculeatus aculeatus (three-spined stickleback), 403 nucleotides. The record is from Ensembl. NCBI's taxonomy places the organism in Eukaryota, Metazoa, Chordata, Actinopteri, Perciformes, Gasterosteidae.